AAGUACUUAGCUUAGUGGUUAAAGCAUUGGUCUCAUAAGCCAACUAUCGCCGGUUCAAAUCCUGCAGUACUUA
Molecule: transfer RNA, 73 nt
Filed under: Chlamydomonas leiostraca
Lineage: Eukaryota; Viridiplantae; Chlorophyta; Chlorophyceae; Chlamydomonadales; Chlamydomonadaceae
Description: tRNA-Met
Rfam family: tRNA
About the family: Transfer RNA (tRNA) molecules are approximately 80 nucleotides in length.
Source: RNAcentral